RNAcentral lists this unclassified non-coding RNA (1455 nucleotides) under Leishmania donovani. Its description in RNAcentral is "gene:unknown". The record is from RNAcentral. Lineage: Eukaryota; Euglenozoa; Kinetoplastea; Trypanosomatida; Trypanosomatidae.
CCUCACCUGCAACGACACGCACUCCUUCUCCCUCAUGCACGGCGAAGGAGUAUUGCUGCAGCUGCGCGCGUGCGCCUGUAUAAGGCUUCCUGCACCCCUUUCUGUGAGCCAGCACGUAGUCUUUUGUCCUCUCCCGCUUUCUCGUCUGUGCCACCGACGCCUUCUGCAUCGCUCUGCCGAAUCAGCGCACACUCCUCCCCCUCCUUCACCGACCUGCUCUGCAGUAGCGUCUUGUCAGGAGAGCGCGUCGCGCACCGCUCCUCUAUCGGGAGACCACACAGCACAAUCACACCUCACCUCUGCGACCUUCUUCACAGCAGUCAUGCUUUUUAUUUUCCAACUCUUCGACUCCCGUACGUGUUACACGUCUCGCUCUGCUACAGUCAUACCACGACCGCCCUCAUCGACAUCGACCACAGCCACGAAAACAGCACCGACGACAAGUAGCCUCCAGCUCAACGCCACCCGAUAUCGGAUGCGGAUUCCUCGGUGUAGCUCUUGACUCUCUCCUUCUCAUCACUGCAAUCGAGGACUUGUGGUCUUGUCGCGUUCGCCGCCAGCUCCAGAGCGGUCGGGAAAAGAGGGAGAGCCACAAAGGGUGCGUGAUGGCGGCGAUGAUGGCCCGUGAGCCAUAGAUAUUCGCACCCGGGACGGCGUUCCAGCGCAUUGCCCUUACGCGUCAUCUGUGCCAGGCAGCGGCGUUACUCGUGCCUCAUAGCACGGCGCCCCUCACCACGCUUGUUGGAAGGUCGAGGAUGCAGGGAAGACAUCGUCUUCGGGCACGAGAUCUUCAUGCUUUUCUGAGGCCGCUGUGAACUUUUUUUGCCUUUGCGAACCCGCCUCCAGAAGGCCGACCUCGAAUCGAUGUUGCUGCUCAUGGUGGCGCUGAUGAGGAUGAGGCGCUAGAGCAGCGUCAGGGGAAGGUGGAGGCGUACAGGGCACGGAAAGCAAAGUGGCCUCUGGGCGCAGCGCUGCAACGUACUAGAGCGCUCCCCCUGAUGAGCUGCACAUCAAGAAAGGCAACGAUAACGAUCCCGGAGCCCAGUCUCUUGCAGCUGUUCUGCGUAAGUGUGGAUGGCCGUGCUGCAUGACGCGAACCGUCAGAAGGGCGGCAAACAUCGCGCCAGCGAACAUCACGCAGCUGCCACUUCAGCGACAUCACCGCUACAGCUUGGUCUGCUCUGUUUGUGAACGCUCUGUCUUCCACAGCCUCCCCACCAUCUCUGGUAACGUGUGCCCAUCCUCCUCCUCCUCCCCCCUCCCUUUUUCUUGCAAUCGUCCCUCGCAUCGAUGGCACUCCACGGAUGUUGCUCCCCUGCGGUGCACAUGGACUUCUUGUGCAUGCUGGCUGUUGUGUAAAGGGGGAAUCCCUGGCUCACCUGUUGAUGCACCCCACAAGGACCAGCCUAGGCAAGAGCCGAACACGAAGACCAGCAAUGUGAUCCUCCUCUCUCC